RNAcentral lists this ribosomal RNA (18 nucleotides) under Quercus falcata. RNAcentral describes it as "partial 28S ribosomal RNA". Lineage: Eukaryota; Viridiplantae; Streptophyta; Magnoliopsida; Fagales; Fagaceae. The record is from RNAcentral.
CGCGACCCCAGGUGCAGG